GGGUGAGUAACACGUGGGUAACCUGCCUGUAAGACUGGGAUAACUCCGGGAAACCGGAGCUAAUACCGGAUAGUUCCUUGAACCGCAUGGUUCAAGGAUGAAAGACGGUUUCGGCUGUCACUUACAGAUGGACCCGCGGCGCAUUAGCUAGUUGGUGAGGUAACGGCUCACCAAGGCGACGAUGCGUAGCCGACCUGAGAGGGUGAUCGGCCACACUGGGACUGAGACACGGCCCAGACUCCUACGGGAGGCAGCAGUAGGGAAUCUUCCGCAAUGGACGAAAGUCUGACGGAGCAACGCCGCGUGAGUGAUGAAGGUUUUCGGAUCGUAAAGCUCUGUUGUUAGGGAAGAACAAGUGCAAGAGUAACUGCUUGCACCUUGACGGUACCUAACCAGAAAGCCACGGCUAACUACGUGCCAGCAGCCGCGGUAAUACGUAGGUGGCAAGCGUUGUCCGGAAUUAUUGGGCGUAAAGGGCUCGCAGGCGGUUUCUUAAGUCUGAUGUGAAAGCCCCCGGCUCAACCGGGGAGGGUCAUUGGAAAACUGGGAAACUUGAGUG
This 559-nucleotide ribosomal RNA is filed under the name Bacillus pumilus. Its description in RNAcentral is "bacterial SSU rRNA". It matches the Rfam family "Bacterial small subunit ribosomal RNA", at positions 104 to 648 of the family's 1533-position model. The record is from RNAcentral. Lineage: Bacteria; Bacillati; Bacillota; Bacilli; Caryophanales; Bacillaceae.